CAAGCGUCAGCCGAGGACGGAGGUCAAGGUCGACAAAGGAAAAAGAAAAAAAAAAUCUAUUCAAUAUGGAAGUAACAAAUUGUAUGUAACAGGUUGUCUAUAAACCGAUGUAAUGUUAUCAUAGUUACGUCUUUUACCAUUGAGAUACAGAUGUAUUGGGGAUGGAACGCGGUCAAACACUCGCGGUAAAGCGAACAGAACCGAAUGGAAAGAAAGCCAAGGCAAAGAGUGAGUUACUAUAUGCUAUAUAUAUACAUAUAUAUGUAUAAUAUAUACUAUGGCUAUGCUAUUUUUCCGCCGGCAGAGAUCGACGAAUGGAAGUUAAGAGUUUGUUCUUGUGGAUUCUCUCUUUCACACUUAACUCACAACUCGCAACUCGUUCGAUCGCAACAACUCAACUCGUCGUCACAUCACUCUGCCCAUGCUACGUUAUACUACACAUCAUUCGCAAACUACGAGGAUACCAAAUGCAUAAAACGGCAACGUCGCCUUUUACUGACGAAUAUCUCGAGUAUUAUGUGUACAUCUAUAUAUUUAUGUAUAUAUCUAUAUAGAUAUAUGCAUGCAGGCACAAAAAUAUACGUACACAUAUCUUUACCGAUUUGAUUGUUGGUCGGUCGGUCAUCCGUCAGUCAUUGGCCAUUACUUAUUCAACUUUCUUUCACUAUAUGUUUAUCGUCAUAUCUGUAUUUUAUUUUAUUACUGCUUUAGUAUAUUUGUGUAUGCACUUUUUGAGCAAAACAAAACUCAAAAAUAAAGGAAAAAACAUAUAUGCAGAUUCAUAAAGAUGAAAACAAACAAAUCAUCAGCCAGGAAUAUACAUAAUGAGCUUAAACGAAAAAUGACGACUAUCAAAAUUUUUAUAUAUGUAUAUAUAUAUUUUUUUUUCGCAACAAGUUUAACUUGUCAUUGUUCAAAAAUAUUUUUCUGGCAAAUGUUAUUGGAUGCAGUUUAAUAUUUU
This is a long non-coding RNA of Microplitis mediator, 961 nucleotides long. RefSeq lists it as uncharacterized. The record is from RefSeq and is a predicted model, not a curated record. The transcript has 3 exons. Lineage: Eukaryota; Metazoa; Arthropoda; Insecta; Hymenoptera; Braconidae.